This 393-nucleotide ribosomal RNA is filed under the name uncultured bacterium. Its description in RNAcentral is "partial 16S ribosomal RNA". It matches the Rfam family "Bacterial small subunit ribosomal RNA", at positions 338 to 729 of the family's 1533-position model. The record is from RNAcentral.
CCUACGGGAGGCUGCAGUGAGGAAUAUUGGUCAAUGGCCGCGAGGCUGAACCAGCCAAGUAGCGUGAGGGAUGAAUGUCCUACGGAUUGUAAACUUCUUUUAUCAAGGAGCAAAGUCACCCACGUGUGGGUGUUGGAGAGUACCUUAUGAAAAAGCAUCGGCUAACUCCGUGCCAGCAGCCGCGGUAAUACGGAGGAUGCGAGCGUUAUCCGGAUUUAUUGGGUUUAAAGGGUGCGUAGGCGGGUUAUCAAGUCAGUGGGAAAAUUGUGGGGCUCAACGGAAUCGUGCCGUUGAAACUGGUGAUCUUGAGUGGGCGUGAGGUAUGCGGAAUUCGUGGUGUAGCGGUGAAAUGCAUAGAUAUCACGAAGAACUCCGAUUGCGAAGGCAGCAUAC